Molecule: ribosomal RNA, 1385 nt
Filed under: Hermatomyces iriomotensis
Lineage: Eukaryota; Fungi; Ascomycota; Dothideomycetes; Pleosporales; Hermatomycetaceae
Description: partial 18S ribosomal RNA
Rfam family: Eukaryotic small subunit ribosomal RNA
Source: RNAcentral
UCUAGUAUAGCAUUAUACCGUGAAACUGCGAAUGGCUCAUUAAAUCAGUUAUCGUUUAUUUGAUAGUACCUUACUACUUGGAUAACCGUGGUAAUUCUAGAGCUAAUACAUGCUAAAAACCCCGACUUCGGGAGGGGUGUAUUUAUUAGAUAAAAAACCAAUGCCCUUCGGGGCUCUUUGGUGAUUCAUGAUAACUUAACGGAUCGCAUGGCCUUGCGCCGGCGACGGUUCAUUCAAAUUUCUGCCCUAUCAACUUUCGAUGGUAAGGUAUUGGCUUACCAUGGUUUCAACGGGUAACGGGGAAUUAGGGUUCGAUUCCGGAGAGGGAGCCUGAGAAACGGCUACCACAUCCAAGGAAGGCAGCAGGCGCGCAAAUUACCCAAUCCCGACUCGGGGAGGUAGUGACAAUAAAUACUGAUACAGGGCUCUUUUGGGUCUUGUAAUCGGAAUGAGUACAAUUUAAACCCCUUAACGAGGAACAAUUGGAGGGCAAGUCUGGUGGACAUUCAGCUCCCAUUUCUGCUGACGCCAGAGAUAGUCGGGCACCUCUUGGGGUGUUAUGCCGGCUAGUCGAGUACCUGCUUUGUGAUGGGGAGGUACCGGCAAGACAACCUGGAUCGGGGAAGGCUAAGGCGCCCUUGGGGGGCUAUGUUAAUCCCGAGCAGAGCUGCCGCAGAGCGAUUUGCGGACAGCCUGUGUAGAGUGCGGUAAGGUGUCGGCCAGCUCACGAAGUUGGCUUAAGGGACGUACCAUUCCCAUCCGAAAGGGUGGCUGCCAGCAUGAGCGCCCAUCACGCAAGGGCUGGCAGGUUCAAACGCACCGUUUGAAAGUAUCAAAAAAGGCCAGCAGCCGCGGUAAUUCCAGCUCCAAUAGCGUAUAUUAAAGUUGUUGCAGUUAAAAAGCUCGUAGUUGAACCUUGGGCCUGGCUGGCCGGUCCGCCUCACCGCGUGUACUGGUCCGGCCGGGCCUUUCCUUCUGGAGAGCCGCAUGCCCUUCACUGGGUGUGUUGGGGAACCAGGACUUUUACUUUGAAAAAAUUAGAGUGUUCAAAGCAGGCCUUUGCUCGAAUACGUUAGCAUGGAAUAAUAGAAUAGGACGUGCGGUCCUAUUUUGUUGGUUUCUAGGACCGCCGUAAUGAUUAAUAGGGAUAGUCGGGGGCAUCAGUAUUCAAUUGUCAGAGGUGAAAUUCUUGGAUUUAUUGAAGACUAACUACUGCGAAAGCAUUUGCCAAGGAUGUUUUCAUUAAUCAGUGAACGAAAGUUAGGGGAUCGAAGACGAUCAGAUACCGUCGUAGUCUUAACCGUAAACUAUGCCGACUAGGGAUCGGGCGAUGUUUCUAUCUUGACUCGCUCGGCACCUUACGAGAAAUCAAAGUUUUGGGUCUG